GAAAGAGGAAAAAGAAGAGAGAAAGAAAAUUAAGGUUUUUGAGGUAGGAGGAGGAGAUCGGAUCAGAACCGACGCCGGAGAUCCGAGUCUCCAAUCUAAACCAUCAACAGCCCGAGGCAAGGUGCUCUCACAAAUCGCACCUUCCUAUUUCGUCAAAACAUCCAAGAACUUCAGCAUUAUCUGGUUAAGUUUUGGAGUGAAGGCGGCCAAGAUUGGCAUUCGAAUCGAAGUUUCAAGAAAACGUGAUUUUCGGACCUGUCAUGGAAAUUUCAGAAUUUUUGGAAUCCUUUCCGUCAAGAAAACUCGAACUCGAGAAGGCACGCGUCAACCAAGUAAGUAGCCAUUUGGAUUCCCACGAGCAGUACUUG
Long non-coding RNA from Cucurbita maxima (winter squash), 368 nucleotides. RefSeq lists it as uncharacterized. The transcript is spliced from 3 exons. The record is from RefSeq and is a predicted model, not a curated record. Lineage: Eukaryota; Viridiplantae; Streptophyta; Magnoliopsida; Cucurbitales; Cucurbitaceae.